This 138-nucleotide ribosomal RNA is filed under the name Lyssomanes viridis. Its description in RNAcentral is "partial 16S ribosomal RNA". The record is from RNAcentral. Lineage: Eukaryota; Metazoa; Arthropoda; Arachnida; Araneae; Salticidae.
UUGGUUUCUAUCNUCUAAAAAAUUUUUCACAGNNCGAAAGGACCAGAAAAAUUAAUUAUAUUAUUAAAUUGGCAGAAUAAUGCAUUAGAAUUAGAAUCUAAUUAUAAUUAAAUAUUAUUUAUAAUUAAUUAUAUUAUU